Triplophysa dalaica is the source of this 318-nucleotide long non-coding RNA. RefSeq lists it as uncharacterized. Lineage: Eukaryota; Metazoa; Chordata; Actinopteri; Cypriniformes; Nemacheilidae. The record is from RefSeq and is a predicted model, not a curated record. The transcript has 4 exons.
GGAGCCUCUGUGGUCGCAUCUAAGAAUGACAAUAAUGGAACAUAUGACACCAUCAACAUCGUUCCUUCUACUCCUAACACAAAUGAGCAGAAAGAUGAUGUGGUUUAUUCUGAGGUGACCGUUGUCAGUAAAAAACAACUGAAGAACAACAUUGUUCAGUCUGCUGGUGAUGUGACUUAUGCCGCCAUCAGAGGAGGAAAAACUGAACCUGAAGACGCCUGCAGAGAGCUUUAAUCCUCCCUGAACAAAACCACUCGCAAAUAAAACACAUCAUUUUACAAAUAAACCGACUCCACAACAACAUAAACACAAAAUAUG